Molecule: ribosomal RNA, 468 nt
Filed under: uncultured bacterium
Lineage: Bacteria
Description: partial 16S ribosomal RNA
Rfam family: Bacterial small subunit ribosomal RNA
Source: RNAcentral
GACGAACGCUGGCGGCGUGCUUAAUACAUGCAAGUCGAACGGAAAGGCCCUGCUUUUGUGGGGUGCUCGAGUGGCGAACGGGUGAGUAACACGUGAGUAACCUGCACUUGACUUUGGGAUAACUUCAGGAAACUGGGGCUAUUACCGGAUAGGAGCUCCUGAUGCAUGGUGGGGGUUGGAAAGUUUCGGCGGUUGGGGAUGGACUCGCGGCUUAUCAGCUUGUUGGUCGGGUAGUGGCUUACCAAGGGUUUGAAGGAUAGCCGGCCUGAGAGGGUGACCGGCCACAUGAGGACUGAGAGACGGCGCAGACGCCUACGGGAGGCAGCAGUGGGGAAUAUUGCGCAGUGGGCGGGAGCCUGAGGCAGCAACGCCGCGUGCGGGAUGACGGCCUUCGAGUUGUAAACCGCUGUCGCCGGUGACGAAGCGUGAGUGACGGUAAUGGGUAAGAAAGCACCGGCUAACUACGUG